CGGUAUGGUAUUGGCUUACCGUGGCAGUGACGGUUAACGGGGGAUUAGGGUUCGAUUCCGGAGAGGGAGCCUGAGAAACGGCUACCACAUCUAAGGAAGGCAGCAGGCGCGCAAAUUACCCAAUUCUAACAGCAAAAGAGAGGUAGUGACAAGAAAUAACAAUACAAGGCACUUAAAAUGCUUUGUAAUUGGAAUGAUAAAAAUUUAAACACUUUUUAAAGUAUCAAUUGGAGGGCAAGUCUGGUGCCAGCAGCCGCGGUAAUUCCAGCUCCAAUAGCGUAUAUUAAAAUUGUUGCAGUUAAAAAGCUCGUAGUUGAAUUUAUGCUAAAAAUAACCGGUCCGCUUUUUUUAUAAAAGUGGUAUCUUGGUGUGUUUUUAGUAAUCAUGUCCUUUGAAAUGUUUUUUACUUAAAUGUAUAAAAACAAUAUUCAGGAGUUUUACUUUGAGAAAAUUAGAGUGUUUCAAGCAAGCUAACGUUUUGAAUACUGCAGCAUGGAAUAAUAAAAUAGGAUUUUAGUUCUACAUUUGUUGGUUUUAAGAGCUAAAUUAAUGGUUGAUAGAAACAGUUGGGGGCAUUUGUAUUUAACUGUCAGAGGUGAAA
RNAcentral lists this ribosomal RNA (601 nucleotides) under Hemolivia sp. Its description in RNAcentral is "partial 18S ribosomal RNA". It matches the Rfam family "Eukaryotic small subunit ribosomal RNA", at positions 326 to 916 of the family's 1831-position model. Lineage: Eukaryota; Apicomplexa; Karyolysidae. The record is from RNAcentral.